Molecule: small nuclear RNA, 140 nt
Filed under: Vicugna pacos (alpaca)
Lineage: Eukaryota; Metazoa; Chordata; Mammalia; Artiodactyla; Camelidae
Description: U2 spliceosomal RNA (ENSVPAG00000017050.1)
Rfam family: U2 spliceosomal RNA
About the family: U2 is a small nuclear RNA (snRNA) component of the spliceosome (involved in pre-mRNA splicing).
Source: RNAcentral
AUCGCUUCUCGGCCUUUUGGCUAAGAUCAAAUGUAGUAUCUGUUCUUACCAUUUUAAUAUCUGAUAUGUCCUCUAUCCAAGGACAAUAUAUUAAAUGGACUUUUGGAGCAGGGAGUUGAAAAAUACAAUGGCAAUCACAU